AGCAGUAGCCGCGGUAAUACGAAGGGUGCAAGCGUUACUCGGAAUUACUGGGCGUAAAGCGUGCGUAGGUGGUGGUUUAAGUCCGUUGUGAAAGCCCUGGGCUCAACCUGGGAAUUGCAGUGGAUACUGGAUCACUAGAGUGUGGUAGAGGAUAGUGGAAUUUCCGGUGUAGCAGUGAAAUGCGUAGAGAUCGGAAGGAACAUCUGUGGCGAAGGCGACUAUCUGGGCCAACACUGACACUGAGGCACGAAAGCGUGGGGAGCAAACAGGAUUAGAUACCCCAGUAGUCCCUGUCUCUUAUAC
This 303-nucleotide ribosomal RNA is filed under the name uncultured bacterium. Its description in RNAcentral is "partial 16S ribosomal RNA". It matches the Rfam family "Bacterial small subunit ribosomal RNA", at positions 507 to 807 of the family's 1533-position model. The record is from RNAcentral.